CCCUGGCGCAGUCGGCCACCUUAACGUGGUGCCAGGUUCCAGGGCUCUUACUAGAGAGGAGGCUAAGUGCCUG
Molecule: non-coding RNA, 73 nt
Filed under: Trypanosoma cruzi strain CL Brener
Lineage: Eukaryota; Euglenozoa; Kinetoplastea; Trypanosomatida; Trypanosomatidae
Source: RNAcentral